Capra hircus (goat) is the source of this 849-nucleotide RNA transcript. It is a transcript of the gene named cytochrome c oxidase assembly protein COX14, with no coding region annotated. NCBI's taxonomy places the organism in Eukaryota, Metazoa, Chordata, Mammalia, Artiodactyla, Bovidae. The record is from RefSeq and is a predicted model, not a curated record. The transcript is spliced from 3 exons.
CGACCUCACUUUCACACUUUCACUUAUUACCUUAGUGUUCUGCUGUGUGUGUGUGUGUGUUUCUGUCUCAUAGCUUAGAGGCCUUUCAAACUUCAAAUAACUUGAAAACAGCUCUUUCUUAUCUUGCCCCUGUGCCAUUUGGUUUUCUUCCUCUGACAUUAUUUAAUGUUACUUUCAGUAGCCACUUGGAAUUAUGAUUCAAGGAAGCUGUGCCUCAGCUCAGCAUUGGGAUCCACCCUCAAGGACUGGCUCAAAGGCAGUGUUCAACUCAUGGGACUUACUUUGAAAAGCAGAUUCUUUACCAGCUGAGCCACCAGGGAAGCCCAAGAAUACUGGAGUGAAUAGCCUAUCCCUCCUCCAGGGGAUCUUCCCAACCCAGGAAUUGAACCGGGGUCUCCUGCAUUGCAGGUGGAUUCUUUACCAGCUGAGCUACCAAACUCUGCAUGGGACAACAUGCCAACUGCCAAGCAACUAGCUGACAUUGGCUACAAGACCUUCUCCACCUCCAUGAUGCUCCUCACGGUGUAUGGGGGCUACCUCUGCAGUGUCCGAGCCUACCACUAUUUCCAGCGGCGCAGCUCCCAGCGCCAGGCUGCAGAAGAACAGAAGACCUCAGGAGCCCUAUAGAAUUGCGGGGCUUUUUUCCUUGAGCAGAGAGGCCUGAGGCAUGCUGUGGAAAGACUGCACCUGCAAUCAUUUCUGAGUCAAGAGGACCAGGGCCUUACUGGCUUUCGAACUCUGUGGAAAAUGCCCAUGUUUUCUCUGGUACAGCCAGUUUGGAGAGGGUAUCGAAUCAAAACAGGAAUGGGAGGGUGAGGCACACCUAUAGCCAUUAAAUACUUUGCCAUA